RNAcentral lists this ribosomal RNA (375 nucleotides) under Gregarinasina sp. Its description in RNAcentral is "partial small subunit ribosomal RNA". It matches the Rfam family "Eukaryotic small subunit ribosomal RNA", at positions 582 to 975 of the family's 1831-position model. The record is from RNAcentral. Lineage: Eukaryota; Apicomplexa; Conoidasida.
AUUCCAGCUCCAAUAGCGUAUAUUAAAGUUGUUGCAGUUAAAACGCUCGUAGUUGAAAUUGUGGUAAUAACAAUGGGUCAUCUUUAACGAGUAUGUACUUAUUGUUAUUGCCAUUAUUCCGGUAUAUGCGGGGUAACCUGUAUAUUCGGAACUGUUACUUUGAGAAAAUUAGAGUGUUUCAAGCAGGCGUAAUGCUUUGAAUACUCCAGCAUGGAAUGACAACAAAGGACUCAAGUCUUUCUUGUUGGUUUAAGGAGUUGAGUAAUGAUUAAGAGGAACAGUCGGGGGUAUUCGUAUUCAGUCGCUAGAGGUGAAAUUCUUAGAUUGACUGAAGACGAACUACUGCGAAGGCAUCUACCAUGGAUGUUUUCAUUA